Molecule: small RNA, 819 nt
Filed under: Pongo abelii (Sumatran orangutan)
Lineage: Eukaryota; Metazoa; Chordata; Mammalia; Primates; Hominidae
Description: retained intron
Source: RNAcentral
CAACACCAGAGCCUGGGGUGGGGGCGGGGGACCUUCCGGGACCUACCUCAGCCCCCGUACCUUCUGGGAGCCAGUCAGGUGGAAGGGGAUCCCCAGUGAGCCCCAGGAGGCAUCAGAAAGGUAAGUGAAGGCAGAGGGGAACCCAAGGUGAUACACAGGCCUCAUGAUAAUCAACCCCUGGGCAACCAGCUGCUUGGAACUCAGCCACCUUUGUGUUUACUUUCUGUCUAGGCCUCCUGAAUUGCAAGAUGCCACCUGCUGAGAAGGCUUCCAGGAUCAGAGCUGCUGAGAAGGCUUCCAGGGGCGAUCAGGAAUCUCCAGAUGCUUGUCUGCCUCCUACAGUGCCUGAAGCCCCAGCCCCACCCCAAAAGCCCCUUAACUCUCAGAGCCGGAAACAUCUUGCACCUCAGCCCCUUCUUUCUCCCCUUUUACCUUCUAUCAAGCCAACCAUUCAUAAGACCAGGCAAGAUGGGAGUCAGGAAGCUGCAGAGACUCCCUUGUCCUCAGAGCUGGAGCCUUUCUACCCAAAGCCUAAAAUCAUAACUCGAAAGUCCUCCAGGAUGACACCCUUUCCAGCUACCUCUGCUGCCCCUGAGCCCCACCCUUCCACCUCCACAGCCCAGCCAGUCACUCCCAAGCCCACAUCUCAGGCCACUAGGGGAAGAAAAAAUAGAUCUUCUGUUAAGACCCCUGAAACAGUUGUGCCCACAGCCCUUGAGCUCCAGCCUUCCACCUCCACCGACCGACCUGUCACCUCUGAGCCCACAUCUCAGGCUACUACGGGAAGAAAAAAUAGAUCCUCUGUCAAGACCCCUGAAA